This is a long non-coding RNA of Centruroides sculpturatus (bark scorpion), 539 nucleotides long. RefSeq lists it as uncharacterized. NCBI's taxonomy places the organism in Eukaryota, Metazoa, Arthropoda, Arachnida, Scorpiones, Buthidae. The record is from RefSeq and is a predicted model, not a curated record. The transcript is spliced from 3 exons.
UAUUCUUAAAUAAUGUUUUCAAUAAUAAUUUAUGAUUUAUAAAGUGAAAAUAUAAAAAAAAAAUUAUAAUUUUAUAAAAAAUAAUUUUUGAUUUUUUUUUCCGUAUUGCCAUGUUACACUUUUAGGGGUCGCUUUAAUCGUCACGUGAUAAUUGUAGCAGACGACCUAGAAGCAGAACAAAGCGGCUAUCUUCGUUAUCUGAGAUUAAUUAUUCUUUUGUCUCCCUUUUUUUUAAAAAUAACUGGACUUUAAUCGUUCAUUAAGAUGAAUUUAAGGAAAAUUUUCAAAGCUUUUAUUAUCAGCAGCAGUUUAAAAUUAAUGAAUUGUUAUUUAUCAACGUAACAGUUUAAAAGAAAAUAAACACGCGUGGUGAAUGAAUAAAUUCAAUGAUAUACAGUCUAAUGGAUGGCAUAGGUUUGGUGGAGAAAGACACCAGAAGUGUUUGGUAAUCUUAUCACUUUCAAUCACUUCAGUAACAUCAGGAAAUUUUGUAACAUUGGAAUUUCGUUAUCUCCAAAUAAUUCACAGAAUUAAGAAUC